This 78-nucleotide non-coding RNA is filed under the name Heterosigma akashiwo. Lineage: Eukaryota; Raphidophyceae; Chattonellales; Chattonellaceae. The record is from RNAcentral.
ACCAGGUGCUUGGACUAGAAGAGAAAUCCUCGGUGAAUAUAAUUUCUGAAGUUUAUGGAGAACUUCAGGUGGUACCUG